AAAGAGAGUCUCAAAGUAGGAAGAAGAGAAAACUCAAAUUUCAGAUCGCUAUUUGCAUAAUGUUCUUUUCUCUUCCCUUUUGUUGUAUAAAGGUUCCCAUCUGUAUCUGCAUCUCUCUGUCUCUAUAGCCAACUUUGAAGGAUUUUGUUUUGGGGAUGUGUUACUAUUACCCAUUUGAGCCUGUUUAACUUGCUACUAAUUCAGCACUUUGGUUUGAAGAG
RNAcentral lists this unclassified non-coding RNA (221 nucleotides) under Hevea brasiliensis (rubber tree). Lineage: Eukaryota; Viridiplantae; Streptophyta; Magnoliopsida; Malpighiales; Euphorbiaceae. The record is from RNAcentral.